AAACCACAGAUACAGAUAUUUAAGAAGUUAAUCAAGCACCAGCAAGCGACCAUUUUGACGUCACUCCAUGGACACAAUGAAUGGCAGAACUUUGCGCUAGAACUGACAACACCAAAAACUCGAAGGAAGAAGUUGGGAAGGUCAGUAGAAAAGAAGCUAGAAGCUGAGAAGAUCCGUAGAAAAGAAGCUAGAAGCUGAGAAGAUACGUAGAACUUGGGGGAACAGUUUUCAAGCUAGGUUUAUGAAACUUUGUGUUAAGUGCAUAGGGA
Molecule: small RNA, 269 nt
Filed under: Spisula solidissima (Atlantic surf clam)
Lineage: Eukaryota; Metazoa; Mollusca; Bivalvia; Venerida; Mactridae
Source: RNAcentral